GUGUCAGCCGCCGCGGUAAUACAGAGGUCUCAAGCGUUGUUCGGAAUCACUGGGCGUAAAGGGUGCGUAGGUGGCGUGGUAAGUCAGAUGUGAAAGCCCGGGGCUCAACCUCGGAAUAGCAUCCGAUACUACCAUGCUAGAGUACUGAAGAGGUGACUAGAAUUCUCGGUGUAGCAGUGAAAUGCGUAGAUAUCGAGAGGAAUACCAACGGCGAAGGCAGGUCACUGGGCAGUUACUGACACUGAGGCACGAAGGCCAGGGGAGCAAACGGGAUUAGAUACCCCGGUAGUCCUGGCAGUAAACGGUGCACGUUUGGUGUGGGCGCAAUCGACCGCGUCCGCGCCGGAGCUAACGCGUUAAACGUGCCGCCUGGGAAGUACGGUCGCAAGAUUAAA
This 395-nucleotide ribosomal RNA is filed under the name uncultured bacterium. Its description in RNAcentral is "bacterial SSU rRNA". It matches the Rfam family "Bacterial small subunit ribosomal RNA", at positions 505 to 898 of the family's 1533-position model. The record is from RNAcentral.